RNAcentral lists this ribosomal RNA (468 nucleotides) under uncultured bacterium. Its description in RNAcentral is "partial 16S ribosomal RNA". It matches the Rfam family "Bacterial small subunit ribosomal RNA", at positions 28 to 507 of the family's 1533-position model. The record is from RNAcentral.
GACGAACGCUGGCGGCGUGCUUAACACAUGCAAGUCGAACGGAAAGGCCCUGCUUUUGUGCGGUGCUCGAGUGGCGAACGGGUGAGUAACACGUGAGUAACCUGCACCUGACUUUGGGAUAACUUCAGGAAACUGGGGCUCUUACCGGGUAGGAGAUAUUGCUGCAUGGGGGGCGUUGGUAAGAUUCGGCGGUUGGGGAUGGACUAGCGGCUUAUCAGCUUGUUGGUGGGGUAGUGGCAUACCAAGGCUUUGAGGGGUAGCCGGCCUGGGAGGCUGACCGGCGACAAUGGGACUGAGAUACGGCCCAGACGCGAACGGGAGGCAACGGUGGGGAGUCUGGCGGAGCGGGCGGGAGCCAGAUGUGACGACGCCGCGUUCGGGAUAACGGGCUUCGGGUUGUAAACCGCUUUCGCCUGUGACGAGGCGUUAGUGACGGUAACGGGUAAAGAAGCACCGGCUAACUACGUG